Molecule: RNA transcript, 5193 nt
Organism: Erythranthe guttata (spotted monkey flower)
Lineage: Eukaryota; Viridiplantae; Streptophyta; Magnoliopsida; Lamiales; Phrymaceae
Source: RefSeq, a predicted model, not a curated record
UACUCCCCAACCUUCUGAAAGCUUCCUCUUUAUUUCUACUGCGCCGAUUUCUCUCUCUCUCUCUCUAAAACAAUCUCUGGUUUUCAUCUCUACAUCCGUUUCACCAGUGUAUCAAGGCGGUUGUGGAGUUCUCUGUGAUGGAAAAUGGCAUUGGCAUUGCCGAGGAUGCCAAGCUGAGGGAGAUGAGUGUCGUGGCAAGCAAAGUAGUGGAGCCAAUUAUGAACAAGACUGUUGAUUUAGGUUCGGACGAAUCGCAGUGCUCUGAUGGGGAUGAAGUAUUCGAAGAGGCAGUUGAGGCGGAAACCCCCUAUGCCGAUUCGGUGGAUAGUAUAAUGACUAGAAUUGGCAACGUCGAUUUAAUUUUUCCCUUUGAGAAUAAUGAGGGGAAUUUAGAUGCGCUACAUGAGUUUGAAGAAGUGAUUGGGGGUCCCGCUGUAGUUUCGAGUUCAGAGGAUGCGGGUGCAAAGACUGAGAUUUUGACGAGUGAGGAGAAGCAAAUUGCUUCAGAGAAAAUUGUGGGGGGCGAAACGAAUGGAUUGGUGGAAGAUAUUGUUAGUGAGGAGAAUGGAAGUGCUAUUGAGGAUGGCAAAAAUCUGUCGACGGAGAUUGUUGGUUCAGCUGCCAUUGCUGCUGAAACUGUGAAUCUCAAUGAUGGAAAUGAGAAGUCGGACGAGUCCAAUCAAAGACCUGUGGGUGUCAUAUCAGAGAAGUUGAGCUCUAUGGAAGACAAUGUGGCUGAAAACAAUGAUAGUGCAACUGAGGAAGGGGAAAAUCAGUGUGUGGAGGUUGUCGAUUCAGCAGCCAUUGCUGAUGAAACUGAGAAUCUAAACGAUGGAAAUGAGAAGUUGGAUGAGUCCACUGUGGGUGUCAUAUCAAAUGAAGUGAGCCAUAUUGAAGACAGUGAUAGUGCUACUGAGGAUGGGAAAAGUCGUAAUACGGAAAUUGUUGAUUUGGCUGCCAUUGGUGAUGAAACUUCGAAUCUAAAUGAUGAACACGAGAAGUUGGAUGAGUCGAUUCAAAACCCCGUGAAUGUCAUAUCGGAUCAAGUGAGCCAUUUUGAAGACAGAGUUGCUGAUAACGGUGAUAGUGCUAUUGACGACGUGAAAAAUCAGCAUGUGGAAAGCGUUAAUUCAUCUGUCAGCCAUAUUGAAGACAGAGUUGCUGAUAACGGUGAUAGUGCUAUUGACGACGGAAAAAAUCAGCAUGUGGAAAGUGUUGAUUCAUCUGUCAGCCAUAUUGAAAACAGAGUUGCUGAUAACGGAGAUAGUGCUAUUGACGACGGGAAAAAUCAGCAUGUGCAAAGUGUUGAUUCAUCUGUCAUUGUGGAUGAAACUCUGAAUCUAAAUGAUGAAAAUGAGAUGUUUGACGAGUCCGUUCAGAACCCUGUGAACGUCAUAUUGGAUAAAGCGAGCCGUGUUGAAGAUAGUGUUGCUGAGGAUAGUGAUAGUGCUAUUGAGGAUGGGAAACUUCAUAAUAAGGAAACUGUUGAUUCAACUGCCGUAGCUGAUGAAACCGCGAGUCCAGAUGAUGAAAAUGAGAAGUUGGAUGAGCCCAAUGAAAAGCCUGUGGGGGUCAUUUCAAACAAAAUGAGCUAUGCUGAAGCUUUAACUUCUGGAGAUGUAAAAAUUGUUGAUGCAGACAACAAAGAAGCACUAAUUUCCGAGAUGCCUAAAACUCAAGAAUCCAAUGAGUUAAGCAGAGAUGUGACUGAACCAGAGAAGCUUGAUAUUGAAACAGAACAUCAUGAGAUUACAGAAAAUCAAGAUUGCAAUAAAGUAAAUGGAGGUGAAAUCGAGUCCAAUCUUCCUGAAAAUGGUUCCUUGGACCAUGUCAGUAUGGUUGGUACUUUGAAUCAUGAAGACAUGCCGAGUGUAGAUUCUGAUGCGCUGAAAGAACAAGUUCAAGAAGAUACAGACGUGGUUAAGGCAAGUGAAAGUGUCACUAGGGCAGCGUUUGAGUCCAACGGAGACGCUCUGCAUAAGAACGAAGAUAAUGGUAUUCUAGCUUCUGGGAACCAGCAUGAAAAGCAUGAAAACCACUCUGCUGAUCUUUCUGAAGUCCAAAAGGAUGAGGUUAUGGAGCUGGAGGAAAACUCACGUGAAGCUGAUGAUAGUCGUGAUAUUGACCACGAAGAAAAUAGUGGAAUUGCAGCUGCAGAAACUUCCAAACUUGGCUCUAACUUGCAGACCGCCUUUGAAGAUAGCACACCGAAACCGGAGAUAGCAGAAACUCCAAGAUCUUCUCAGCCGCAGCUUGUUGAUUCCAGUUCUGAAGUCUCAACUAACAUUGUUGAGAAUGUUGCCAAGGUACAAGAACCUGUUACUCACGGUACAACACCUAAAUUAGAACAGGAAAUUAAACCUGUGACAGCUAUCUCCUCAGCUGCUAACUCCACAACUCCUCCACCUGCUGGACUUGGGAAUACGGCCCCACUUCUGGAUCACGGUUCUCAAAAUAAAGACCGUUGGUCCCGGACUGUGGCUGAUAAUAUUCCAUCAACCAAUAUUACAUCUGCAACUCCUGCUCGACCAGCUGGCCUUGGGCGGGCUGCCCCGCUGUUGGAGCCCACCUCUCGGGCUGUCCAGCAGCCUCGAGUGAACGGAGCUGUUUCUGCAGCACAGAACCAGCUCAUUGAAGACCCUACAAAUGGGGAGAGUGAGGAGUACGACGAAACCCGUGAAAAGCUUCAGAUGAUUCGUGUCAAAUUUCUGCGCCUUGCUCAUAGGCUUGGUCAGACUCCACACAAUGUUGUUGUCGCUCAAGUCUUGUAUAGAUUGGGGCUGGCCGAACAGCUACACGGCAGAAGUGGCGGACGUGUUGCUGGAUUUAGCUUUGAUCGUGCCAGUGCAAUGGCUGAGCAGCUUGAGGCAGCUGGACAAGACCCUCUAGACUUCACAUGCACAAUCAUGGUUCUUGGCAAAUCAGGUGUCGGCAAAAGUGCAACCAUAAAUUCCAUAUUCGACGAAGUCAUGUUCGGUACAGAUGCUUUUCAGUUGGGAACCAAGAAGGUUCAGGAUAUUGUUGGGACUGUGCAAGGAAUCAGGGUACGGGUGAUCGACACUCCUGGACUUUUCCCCUCUUGGUCAGACCAGCGCCAGAACGAGAAAAUCCUUCAUUCUGUCAAAAGGUUUAUCAAGAAAACACCUCCAGAUAUUGUUCUGUAUCUUGACAGAUUGGACAUGCAGAGCAGAGAUAUGGGUGAUAUGCCUUUAUUACGGACAAUCACCGAUAUCUUUGGACAGUCUAUUUGGUUCAACGCCAUUGUUGUUCUGACACAUGCUGCAUCUGCUCCGCCCGAAGGUCCGAAUGGCACUACAACAAGUUACGACAUGUUUGUUACACAGAGAUCGCAUGUUGUCCAGCAAGCAAUUCGUCAGGCCGCUGGAGAUAUGAGGCUGAUGAAUCCUGUUUCUUUGGUGGAGAACCACUCAGCUUGCAGGACAAACAGGGCUGGGCAGAGGGUUUUGCCGAACGGUCAGGUUUGGAAGCCUCAUUUGUUGCUUCUCUCUUUUGCUUCGAAAAUUCUGGCCGAAGCGAAUACUCUGCUAAAGUUGGCCGAUAGUCCUCCUGGAAGACCUUUUGCUCCUCGAACAAGAUCGCCGCCUUUACCUUCCCUUCUUCCGUCUCUUCUCCAAUCGAGACCUGAAGUUAAACUUCCGUCGGAGCAAUUUGGCGAUGACGAUGAUGCUGUAGAUGAUGAUCUGGACGAGUGCUCGGAUUCGGAAGGAGAAUCGGAAUACGAUGCGUUACCUCCCUUCAGAUCGUUGACUAAAGCCCAGCUAGAAAAUCUUAGUAAACAGCAAAAGAAGGCAUACUAUGAUGAACUAGAAUACAGAGAAAAACUCUUCAUGAAGAAGCAGCUGAAGGAAGAGAGGAAGCGACGGAAAAUGAUGAAAAAAAUGCAGGAAGCAGCUAUAGGUUUGCCUGCUGAUUAUGGUGACAACGGUGAAGAAGAGGCCAGUGCUGCUGCAUCUGUACCAGUUCCUAUGCCGGACUUGGCCCUACCCGCUUCUUUUGAUUCGGAUAAUCCGACCCAUCGAUAUCGGUCUCUGGAUUCCUCCAACCCUUGGCUUGUGAGGGCUGUUUUGGAACCCAAUGGGUGGGACCAUGACAUUGGAUACGAUGGCAUAAACGUCGAGCGAUUGUUUGUGCUUGAUUCGAAUGUACCAGUAUCUUUCUCUGGCCACAUUUCGAAGGACAAAAAAGAUGCCAGUCUUCAAAUGGAAAUGGCGACCUCUGUGAAGCAUGGGAAAGGGAAAGCAACCACUUUAGGCUUUGAUAUGCAACCGUUUGGAAAGGACUAUGCUUACACUCUACGAAGCGAUACUAGAUUUAUCAGUAACCGAGUGAACAAGGCAGCUGCUGGUCUUUCGACUACUGUUUUAGGGGAUAUUUUAACCGGUGGAGUAAAACUAGAGGACAAAUUAACCAUUGGUAAAAGGGGGCAGUUACUGGUUUCGGGUGGUGCUAUUUAUGGUCGAGGAGAGGUUGCUUAUGGUGGCAGUUUGGAAGCAACUUUGAGAGACAAAGAACAUCCUUUAGGACGCUUUCUAUCAACACUGGGGAUUUCUGUAAUGGAUUGGCAUGGUGAUCUUGCUGUUGGGUGCAAUUCCCAGACACAGAUUCCUAUUGGACGGCAUACGAAUUUGAUUGGUCGUUUUAAUCUUAAUAACAGGGGAUCUGGACAACUUAGCCUUAAAGUGAACAGUUCGGAGCAGCUGCAAAUAGUGUUGAUUGGCUUAAUUCCGUUAGUUCAGAAAGUACUUGGUUAUUCUCAGCAGGUGCAGUAUGGUUGAUGAUGAUGAUGAUGAUGAUGAUGAUGAUAGAAGGAUGUUGCAUGAUGUGGCAGCCAAUCGGGAUAUCCCGAAUUGCUUCUUUCGUGUGCGUCGUUUGCUCGAUCGGUUACUGAUAUAGGUAAUAAAUAGAAAGGAUAAUGGGAGUUUUGAAGGAUAUUUUGCAUUUUGCGUGUUCAGAUUGGGAGACGUUGCAUUAUUUGGCUACUUUCAAGAACUUCAUCUAAAUUUAAUUUUCAUUCUCUGAUUUUAAGAAUGUAAUAUUUUUAAAUUUGCUAUUGCUCGGAAUUUUGUAGAAUGUAGUACCAUUUUCAAUCUGUGAGAGUUUUGGCAUAAUGUGAAUAUCUUGUCAUCAAUAUGGCUUGGCUUGGUUUGCUCGUGAAAUUACAGGCUUCUGUUA